GUGAGGAAUAUUGGUCAAUGGACGAGAGUCUGAACCAGCCAAGUCGCGUGAAGGAAGACGGUUCUAUGAAUUGUAAACUUCUUUUGUGCAGGAAUAAAGUGGGUUACGUGUAACCUUUUGUAUGUACUGUACGAAUAAGGAUCGGCUAACUCCGUGCCAGCAGCCGCGGUAAUACGGCGGAUCCGAGCGUUAUCCGGAUUUAUUGGGUUUAAAGGGUGCGUAGGUGGAUUGAUAAGUCAGCGGUGAAAGUUUGCAGCUUAACUGUAAAAUUGACGUUGAAACUGUAGGUCUUGAGUGCAAAUGAGGUAGGCGGAAUGUGUUGUGUAGCGGUGAAAUGCUUAGAUAUAACACAGAACUCCGAUUGCGAAGGCAGCUUACUGGGAUGCAACUGACACUGAUGCACGAAAGCGUGGGUAUCAAACAGGAUUAGAAACCCCGGUAGUCC
RNAcentral lists this ribosomal RNA (445 nucleotides) under uncultured bacterium. Its description in RNAcentral is "partial 16S ribosomal RNA". It matches the Rfam family "Bacterial small subunit ribosomal RNA", at positions 354 to 796 of the family's 1533-position model. The record is from RNAcentral.